Molecule: small RNA, 727 nt
Filed under: Malus domestica (apple)
Lineage: Eukaryota; Viridiplantae; Streptophyta; Magnoliopsida; Rosales; Rosaceae
Description: sRNA MD11G0071100
Source: RNAcentral
UCACCAAACCUCGACGAAUCAACGCUCAAACCACCACCACGUCCACCCUCUUGACCUCGCGAGCUCGAACCCGAGCUCCGUUUCGUAGGAAACCGAAACUAGAGGCUCUAGCUCGAAGCUCCGACGAGAAAGAAACUUCCCGACGAAGUUCCCGACACUUUUCCGACCGCUCCACACCGUAUUGGAAGAGUUGGAAGCCACCACAGAACUCCCUAACGUCACUGGGUCAAGUUUGAGGCAAUCCCCAACUCGAAAACACCCGGCUUCGAAGCUUUGGGUUUUUUUGCGGAGACUUUCAGGCCAAUUUCAGUACACGUCUGCUUUUUGGAGUUCCAAGAGGUAUAAACUUGUUCCUUGUGCUUCAUUUCCAUAUAAAGAACGUAAAAAAUGGGACCUUCCGGCGUGUUUUUGGCUAAAUCACGGCGAGUUAGCCGUACCAAUUUGUUCAUCUCAUUCCGAGAUGUCGGCUAGUACGCCUUGACUUCGGUUGGGAUGUGUCAAAGUUUGUGAAGCACCACUUCCAGUUCCAAGCAUAUGAUUUGGUGUUGAACAAGGCAUAAAUUUCAUAAUUUCACUUUUACUCUGGACAGUUGUAUUGUGUUGACUUACAAUACAGGUACUACAUAUUUCUCGAAAACUAUUUCAUUCCAAUAUUUGUUGUUUUAGACGUUUGUUUUUACUCUACCUAUCCAAGAAAUAAAAGUGUUGAUUUUACAUUCUAGUACCC